Molecule: ribosomal RNA, 595 nt
Filed under: uncultured Lactobacillus sp.
Lineage: Bacteria; Bacillati; Bacillota; Bacilli; Lactobacillales; Lactobacillaceae
Description: partial 16S ribosomal RNA
Rfam family: Bacterial small subunit ribosomal RNA
Source: RNAcentral
CCKUUACMCCUACGGGAGGSAGCAGUAGGGGAUCUUCCACAAUGGGCGAAAGCCUGAUGGAGCAACSCCSCGUGGGUGAAGAAGGUCUUCSGAUCGUAAAACCCUGUUGUUAGAGAAGAAAGUGCGUGAGAGUAACUGUUCACGUUUCSACGGUAUCUAACCAGAAAGCCACGGCUAACUACGUGCCAGCAGCCGCGGUAAUACGUAGGUGGCAAGCGUUAUCCGGAUUUAUUGGGCGUAAAGGGAACGCAGGCGGUCUUUUAAGUCUGAUGUGAAAGCCUUCGGCUUAACCGGAGUAGUGCAUUGGAAACUGGGAGACUUGAGUGCAGAAGAGGAGAGUGGAACUCCAUGUGUAGCGGUGAAAUGCGUAGAUAUAUGGAAGAACACCAGKGGSGRARGCGGCUCUCUGGUCUGUAACUGACGCUGAGGUUCGAAAGCGUGGGUAGCAAACAGGAUUAGAUACCCUGGUAGUCCACGCCGCAAACGAUGAAUGCUAAGUGUUGGAGGGUUUCCGCCCUUCAGUGCUGCAGCUAACGCAAUARGCAUUCCGCCUGGGGAGUACGACCGCAAGGUUGAAACUCAAAUGAAUUGACGG